RNAcentral lists this ribosomal RNA (253 nucleotides) under uncultured bacterium. RNAcentral describes it as "partial 16S ribosomal RNA". It matches the Rfam family "Bacterial small subunit ribosomal RNA", at positions 524 to 776 of the family's 1533-position model. The record is from RNAcentral.
UACGUAGGUGGCAAGCGAUUCUCGGAAUCACUAGGCGUAAAGCGCAGGUAGGCGGUUGGGUAAGUCUUUUGUGAAAGCUCCUGGCUUAACUGGGAGAGGUCAAAGGAAACUACUCGGCUAGAGUUUGGUAGGGGAUACUGGAAUUCCUGGUGUAGCGGUGAAAUGCGUAGAUAUCAGGAGGAAUACCUAUGGCGAAAGCAGGUAUCUGGGCCACAACUGACGCUGAGCUGCGAAAGCUAGGGGAGCAAACAGG